CCAGACUCCUACGGGAGGCAGCAGUGGGGAAUAUUGGGCAAUGGGCGCAAGCCUGACCCAGCAACGCCGCGUGAAGGAAGAAGGCUUUCGGGUUGUAAACUUCUUUUAAGAGGGACGAAACAAAUGACGGUACCUCUUGAAUAAGCCACGGCUAACUACGUGCCAGCAGCCGCGGUAAUACGUAGGUGGCAAGCGUUAUCCGGAUUUACUGGGUGUAAAGGGCGUGUAGGCGGGACUGCAAGUCAGAUGUGAAAACCACGGGCUCAACCUGUGGCCUGCAUUUGAAACUGUAGUUCUUGAGUACUGGAGAGGCAGACGGAAUUCCUAGUGUAGCGGUGAAAUGCGUAGAUAUUAGGAGGAACACCAGUGGCGAAGGCGGUCUGCUGGACAGCAACUGACGCUGAGGCGCGAAAGCGUGGGGAGCAAACAGGAUUAGAUACCCGUGUAAU
RNAcentral lists this ribosomal RNA (449 nucleotides) under uncultured bacterium. RNAcentral's name for it is "bacterial SSU rRNA". It matches the Rfam family "Bacterial small subunit ribosomal RNA", at positions 331 to 794 of the family's 1533-position model. The record is from RNAcentral.